Molecule: ribosomal RNA, 163 nt
Filed under: Escherichia coli
Lineage: Bacteria; Pseudomonadati; Pseudomonadota; Gammaproteobacteria; Enterobacterales; Enterobacteriaceae
Description: partial 23S ribosomal RNA
Rfam family: Bacterial large subunit ribosomal RNA (bases 1-145)
Source: RNAcentral
CACGAAACUUGCCCCGAGAUGAGUUCUCCCUGACUCCUUGAGAGUCCUGAAGGAACGUUGAAGACGACGACGUUGAUAGGCCGGAUGUGUAAGCGCAGCGAUGCGUUGAGCUAACCGGUACUAAUGAACCGUGAGGCUUAACCUUACAACGCCGAAGGUGUUU